Molecule: unclassified non-coding RNA, 345 nt
Filed under: soil metagenome
Description: partial contains 5.8S ribosomal RNA, internal transcribed spacer 2, and large subunit ribosomal RNA
Rfam family: 5.8S ribosomal RNA (bases 1-120)
Source: RNAcentral
GAUGAAGAACGCAGUGAAAUGCGAAAAGUAGUGUGAAUUGCAGAAUUCAGUGAAUCAUCGAGUCUUUGAACGCACAUUGCGCCCCCUGGUAUUCCGGGGGGCAUGCCUGUCCGAGCGUCAUUGCUGCCCUCAAGCACGGCUUGUGUGUUGGGCCUCCGUCCUCCUCCCGGGGGACGGGCCCGAAAGGCAGCGGCGGCACCGCGUCCGGUCCUCGAGCGUAUGGGGCUUCGUCACCCGCUCUUGUAGGCCCGGCCGGCGCUUGCCGACACAUCAAUCUUUUUUCCAGGUUGACCUCGGAUCAGGUAGGGAUACCCGCUGAACUUAAGCAUAUCAAUAAGCGGAGGA